UUAGGCGAUGGAAUGGAGCCGAUAAAAGCCUGACAGUUUCCUCAUGCAAAUUAUGUUGUAUUAAAAACUUACGCAAAAAUUAAAAACAACGCAGGCCAAAAACAGCAAGGGGAAAGUGCUCAGUGGGGAAGCGUUCUUCUCUGCAAUUAGGAAGAAAGACCUCAGCCUUUGUUGGACAGCUGCCUGGUUCCAACUGGCUAUUUUCAGCGGCAUCGUUCCUGUAGCUGUCAGUUAUUAGAAUAGCAGCAAAUGUGCGUACGCCAAGAUUUUUCACUGCUUUCACCCAUCUUCCCAAACACCCAGAAGUCACAGUGCUGGAAUUACGAUGAUACAAUCGUCCCCAUGGAAACAGAGCUGGUGUCAUAAACAGGACAUUAUGACUUCUCAGCAGGGGGCUGCAGAUGGAAUUUUGGCAUUUGACGUGUAGGAUUUAUUCAAAAACACAAAUGUCUUGGAGAGGAACAGCAAGGGAGAGGGAAGAAAGGGCAUGGGGCUCCUCUUAUAAAAUGCAUUUAAACAUUCGUACUCACCUCUGACAGAGUAGUGGAGGCAUUUCCCCAUCCUUGAAGAGCACAGUUCUGAAAACAGCAGAGAUGACUUGUUUCCACCCAUUGGUCAAGAUCUAGGCAUAUACCUGGCUUUAGGAAUCCGAGUAAUCACAGAGGUGAUCAGGUACGAUGCCAGAUUCUGCACAACAGACUGAUACAACAGUUGAGAUGCUAUCAGCACUCUGGAGGCUCCUGUGGGUUAAAUGGGUGAGAUCAGCAAGUGUCGUAGUUGUUGAAGACGUGAGUACCAAACGGAAUGUUUUUCUUAAUUUAAUCAUCAAGAAAGAGACAGCUCCUUCCUCCAUGACUCAACUCGUUCUCCAUGGGCCCACUUCCGGCUCCGCAGAAAGCAGGUGUACCUCCAGGGUGAGUGGAACAAAUGGAACACACAGAACACGCGUCAUGGUUCUCCAUUCUGAUGGGCCCCAGAGCAGAUGGAAGACUUCAAUGGGAAUAUUGAAGUUACCAUUUUAA
RNAcentral lists this long non-coding RNA (1022 nucleotides) under Chinchilla lanigera (long-tailed chinchilla). RNAcentral describes it as "lncRNA (ENSCLAG00000027108.1)". Lineage: Eukaryota; Metazoa; Chordata; Mammalia; Rodentia; Chinchillidae. The record is from RNAcentral.